RNAcentral lists this ribosomal RNA (424 nucleotides) under uncultured bacterium. RNAcentral describes it as "bacterial SSU rRNA". It matches the Rfam family "Bacterial small subunit ribosomal RNA", at positions 29 to 442 of the family's 1533-position model. The record is from RNAcentral.
AGCGAACGUUAGCGGCGCGCCUAACACAUGCAAGUCGCACGAGAAAGGGAGCAAUCCCCGGUACAGUGGCGCACGGGUGAGUAACACGUAGAUGACCUUCCCUGGAGUGGUGGAUAACCUGCCGAAAGGCGGGCUAAUACAGCAUGGGACCACAUGGUUUUGACCGAGUGGUGAAAGCGGGCCUCUGUUCACAAGCUCGCGCUCUGGGAUGGGUCUGCGUCCCAUCAGCUAGUUGGUGAGGUAAUGGCUCACCAAGGCAUCGACGGGUAGCUGGUCUGAGAGGAUGACCAGCCACACUGGAACUGAGACACGGUCCAGACUCCUACGGGAGGCAGCAGUGGGGAAUCUUGCGCAAUGGGCGAAAGCCUGACGCAGCGACGCCGCGUGGGUGAUGAAGGCCUCGGUUGUAAGACCUCGUGGGAGG